Molecule: ribosomal RNA, 496 nt
Filed under: uncultured bacterium
Lineage: Bacteria
Description: partial 16S ribosomal RNA
Rfam family: Bacterial small subunit ribosomal RNA
Source: RNAcentral
GAUGAACGCUGGCGGCGUGCCUAAUACAUGCAAGUCGAGCGAACAGACGAGGAGCUUGCUCCUCUGACGUUAGCGGCGGACGGGUGAGUAACACGUGGAUAACCUACCUAUAAGACUGGGAUAACUUCGGGAAACCGGAGCUAAUACCGGAUAAUAUAUUGAACCGCAUGGUUCAAUAGUGAAAGACGGUUUUGCUGUCACUUAUAGAUGGAUCCGCGCCGCAUUAGCUAGUUGGUAAGGUAACGGCUUACCAAGGCAACGAUGCGUAGCCGACCUGAGAGGGUGAUCGGCCACACUGGAACUGAGACACGGUCCAGACUCCUACGGGAGGCAGCAGUAGGGAAUCUUCCGCAAUGGGCGAAAGCCUGAUGGAGCAACGCCGCGUGAGUGAUGAAGGUCUUCGGAUCGUAAAACUCUGUUAUUAGGGAAGAACAAAUGUGUAAGUAACUAUGCACGUCUUGACGGUACCUAAGCAGAAAGCCACGGCUAACUACGU